RNAcentral lists this ribosomal RNA (1380 nucleotides) under metagenome. RNAcentral describes it as "bacterial LSU rRNA". It matches the Rfam family "Bacterial large subunit ribosomal RNA", at positions 1572 to 2925 of the family's 2925-position model. The record is from RNAcentral.
AGGUCCCAUGUGGACCGAAGUGAAUAACGCCCCGCUUCCAGGAAAAGCCUCUAAGCUUCAGAUCACACUGGACCGUACCGUAAACCGACACUGGUGGGUGAGCAGAUAAUCUGCCAAGGCGCUUGAGAGAACUCGGGUUAAGGAACUCUGCAAAUUGAUACCGUAACUUCGGAAGAAGGUAUGCCUUCGACGGUGUAGGGAUUUACUCCCGAAGCUGUUGAAGGUCGCAGGUAAUCGGUGGCUGCGACUGUUUAUCAAAAACACAGGACUCUGCGAACACGCAAGUGGAAGUAUAGGGUCUGACGCCUGCCCGGUGCCGGAAGGUUAAUUGAUGGGGUUAGCCGCAAGGCGAAGCUCUUGAUCGAAGCCCCGGUAAACGGCGGCCGUAACGAUAACGGUCCUAAGGUAGCGAAAUUCCUUGUCGGGUAAGUUCCGACCUGCACGAAUGGCGUAACGCUGGCCACACUGUCUCGACCCGAGACUCAGUGAAGUUGAAAUCGCUGUGAAGAUGCGGCGUUCCCGCGGCAAGACGGAAAGACCCCGUGAACCUUCACUACAGCUUUACAUUGAACUUUGAAUCUUCCUGUGUAGCAUAGGUGGGAGGCUUUGAAGCCUGGGCGCUAGCUCAGGUGGAGCCAACGUUGAAAUACCACCCUGGGAUAUUCGGAGUUCUAACCUUGGUCCGUAAUCCGGAUUGGGGACAAUGUAUGGUGGGUAGUUUGACUGGGGCGGUCUCCUCCCAAAGAGUAACGGAGGAGUGCAAUGGUACGCUCAGCGCGGUCGGUCAUCGCGCUCUAGAGUGCAAAGGCAUAAGCGUGCUUAACUGUGAGACAGACACGUCGAACAGGUACGAAAGUAGGUCUUAGUGAUCCGGUGGUUCUGUAUGGAAGGGCCAUCGCUCAACGGAUAAAAGGUACUCCGGGGAUAACAGGCUUAUUCCUCCCAAGAGUCCACAUCGACGGAGGAGUUUGGCACCUCGAUGUCGGCUCAUCACAUCCUGGGGCUGUAGCAGGUCCCAAGGGUAUGGCUGUUCGCCAUUUAAAGUGGUACGCGAGCUGGGUUCAGAACGUCGUGAGACAGUUCGGUCCCUAUCUGCCGUGGGCGUUGGAAACUUGAGGGUGAGCUGUCCUUAGUACGAGAGGACCGGGAUGGACGUAUUUCUGGUGUUCCGGUUGUCACGCCAGUGGCACUGCCGGGUAGCUAUAUACGGACGGGAUAAGCGCUGAAAGCAUCUAAGCGCGAAGCCCCCCCCAAGAUUAGGUUUCCCUGGGAACUCGAUCCCCUAAAGGGCCGUCGGAGACUACGACGUUGAUAGGCUGGGUGUGUAAGUGCAGCAAUGCAUUGAGCUAACCAGUACUAAUUGCCCGUGAGGCUUGACCG